GACGAACGCUGGCGGCGUGCUUAACACAUGCAAGUCGAACGAAAAGACGGAAAGAGCUUGCUCUUUUCAGAAUUGAGUGGCAAACGGGUGAGUAACACGUAAACAACCUGCCUUCAGGAUGGGGACAACAGACGGAAACGACUGCUAAUACCGAAUAAGUUCCAAGGGCCGCAUGGCCCAUGGAAGAAAAGGUGGCCUCUACCUGUAAGCUAUCGCCUGAAGAGGGGUUUGCGUCUGAUUAGCUGGUUGGAGGGGUAACGGCCCACCAAGGCGACGAUCAGUAGCCGGUCUGAGAGGAUGAACGGCCACACUGGAACUGAGACACGGUCCAGACUCCUACGGGAGGCAGCAGUGGGGAAUCUUCCGCAAUGGGCGGAAGCCUGACGGAGCAACGCCGCGUGAGUGAUGACGGCCUUCGGGUUGUAAAACUCUGUGAUCCGGGACGAAAAGGCAGAGUGCGAAGAACAAACUGCAUUGACGGUAC
This 484-nucleotide ribosomal RNA is filed under the name uncultured bacterium. RNAcentral's name for it is "bacterial SSU rRNA". It matches the Rfam family "Bacterial small subunit ribosomal RNA", at positions 28 to 478 of the family's 1533-position model. The record is from RNAcentral.